This 500-nucleotide ribosomal RNA is filed under the name uncultured bacterium. RNAcentral describes it as "partial 16S ribosomal RNA". It matches the Rfam family "Bacterial small subunit ribosomal RNA", at positions 30 to 523 of the family's 1533-position model. The record is from RNAcentral.
AUUGAACGCUGGCGGAAUGCUUUACACAUGCAAGUCGAACGGCAGCACGGGGGCAACCCUGGUGGCGAGUGGCGAACGGGUGAGUAAUACAUCGGAACGUGCCCAGUCGUGGGGGAUAACGUCGCGAAAGUUACGCUAAUACCGCAUACGAUCUACGGAUGAAAGCGGGGGACCGUAAGGCCUUGCGCGAUUGGAGCGGCCGAUGUCAGAUUAGGUAGUUGGUGAGGUAAAGGCUCACGAAGCAGACGAUCUGUAGCUGGUCUGAGAGGACGACCAGCCACACUGGGACUGAGACACGGCCCAGACUCCUACGGGAGGCAGCAGUGGGGAAUUUUGGACAAUGGGCGCAAGCCUGAUCCAGCCAUUCCGCGUGCAGGACGAAGGCCUUCGGGUUGUAAACUGCUUUUGUACGGAACGAAAAGGCUCUGGUUAAUACCUGGGGCUCAUGACGGUACCGUAAGAAUAAGCACCGGCUAACUACGUGCCAGCCGCCGCGGUAA